GAGGGGUAGGGCCAACCGCCUGGACGCCCCAAGGGCAGGCGCAGAUCACCGAGCCAUGGAUUGCACUUUCGAAGACAUGCUUCAGCUUAUCAACAACCAAGACAGUGACUUCCCUGGCCUGUUUGACCCACCCUAUGCUGGGAGUGGGGCAGGGGGCACAGACCCUGCCAGCCCCGAUACCAGCUCCCCAGGCAGCUUGUCUCCACCUCCUGCCACAUUGAGCUCCUCUCUUGAAGCCUUCCUGAGCGGGCCACAGGCAGCGCCCUCACCCCUGUCCCCUCCCCAGCCUGCACCCACUCCAUUGAAGAUGUACCCGUCCGUGCCCACUUUCUCCCCUGGGCCUGGUAUCAAGGAAGAGUCAGUGCCACUGAGCAUCCUGCAGACCCCCACCCCACAGCCCCUGCCAGGGGCCCUCCUGCCACAGAGCUUCCCAGCCCCAGCCCCACCGCAGUUCAGCUCCACCCCUGUGUUAGGCUACCCCAGCCCUCCGGGAGGCUUCUCUACAGGUAAGGGGGAUGUGUGGCGGGAGGGGACACCCGGGGUGGGGCUUCCAGGAGCACAGGAAGAAGCUUCUGCUGUGAUGUGAGUAGAGGUCUGUGCAGGCUUUAGAAACUGGGGCUCCACUCGGCUGCUUGAGAUGCCCUGUUACUAGCAGUCCUGGUGUGCUUGUUGCUGGGGUAGGCGCAACCUCGCACUGGAGGCCUGGCUUGAAGCCAGUGCAUUUGCAUCAGAGCCCAGGCAGGGACUGUCCAUAGGAAGCCACAUGGGGCAAUGACUCAUCCAAGGCCAGUCGGUGAUAGAGACCUGAAGAGCAGGUUGAAAGUGGGAGAGGGAGGUCUGUGUCUGCAGCCCCAUGCUUUAUUUCUGCAGGAAGCCCUCCCGGGAGCACUCAGCAGCCGCUGCCUGGCCUGCCACUGGCUUCCCCGCCAGGGGUCCCGCCCAUCUCCUUGCACACCCAGGUCCAGAGUGUGGUCCCCCAGCAGCUACUGACAGUCACAGCUGCCCCCACGGCAGCCCCUGUAACGACCACUGUGACCUCGCAGAUCCAGCAGGUCCCGGUCCUGCUGCAGCCCCACUUCAUCAAGGCAGACUCGCUGCUUCUGACAGCCAUGAAGACAGACGGAGCCACUGUGAAGGCGGCAGGUCUCAGUCCCCUGGUCUCCGGCACCACUGUGCAGACAGGGCCUUUGCCGACCCUGGUGAGUGGCGGAACCAUCUUGGCAACAGUCCCACUGGUCGUAGAUGCGGAGAAGCUGCCUAUCAACCGGCUCGCAGCUGGCAGCAAGGCCCCGGCCUCUGCCCAGAGCCGUGGAGAGAAGCGCACAGCCCACAACGCCAUUGAGAAGCGCUACCGCUCCUCCAUCAAUGACAAAAUCAUUGAGCUCAAGGAUCUGGUGGUGGGCACUGAGGCAAAGGUGUGGAGAGGCCUG
Molecule: long non-coding RNA, 1430 nt
Filed under: Pan troglodytes (chimpanzee)
Lineage: Eukaryota; Metazoa; Chordata; Mammalia; Primates; Hominidae
Description: long non-coding RNA NONPTRT006806
Source: RNAcentral